RNAcentral lists this long non-coding RNA (542 nucleotides) under Manihot esculenta (cassava). RNAcentral describes it as "long non-coding RNA (MESC_LNC012591)". The record is from RNAcentral. Lineage: Eukaryota; Viridiplantae; Streptophyta; Magnoliopsida; Malpighiales; Euphorbiaceae.
AAAAGAGAGAAAAGCCGAGAGAGAAAAAAAGAGAAGGUGGAAACUUCGUCGGGCUCCUUCGCCUCUUGCGAAAGUUGCUAUUCUGUAAAUUUUUAUUAUAAUUUGUUUUUGUGUUGAGUUAAGUUUUGUUAUGGCUUUGCGAUAGUUUAGAUUUUGUGUUGUAUGGUUUUGUUGGAACCUGGUUGGAUUAACGCCACUAUGCGAGACUGAAAUCGCUAUAUACCAACUCUUUUCAGUAGUUGUCAAUGCUAUAUUAUUGGAGCUCUAUUUGCAUUCCUUUCACUUUUUGGUUCUUCUGUUGGUCUCAUUUGCUCUUCUCUGAGUUCAUAACUAUCUCCUCUCUACCUCGAUCGACUUCAUUUCUUGCUUGCUAUUUUGUUCCGUUUUGAUCGAAGUGGUAGAUGUGUCAUUGAGGUAGCUUUAUUUUGCCAAAUUGGCUUGUAUGAACUUUAUGGUGUAUUUCAUUGUUAUUAUUAACGGAACCGAUGAUCGUUUGUCAGAGUGACUGGUCGAUUGACGGUAGCAAUGAAAUCUGUGUGCUA